This is a long non-coding RNA of Silurus meridionalis, 644 nucleotides long. RefSeq lists it as uncharacterized. The transcript is spliced from 3 exons. The record is from RefSeq and is a predicted model, not a curated record. NCBI's taxonomy places the organism in Eukaryota, Metazoa, Chordata, Actinopteri, Siluriformes, Siluridae.
AGAGAAGGAGAAUGCGAGACAAAAAAGGACAAUAUUGAAAGAGAGAGACAGCGAGACAGAAACAAAGUGAUAAAGACUUGGAGAAGGUGAUUUACGUGGGAUAUUACCUUCCCAUGAGCUGACAAGAAAAAAGUGAACAAUGGCGAAUGAGACAAACAGCGAAGCAGCAAGUGUGAAGAGUGACAGCAAGUCAAGCAAAACAUGACAGGAAACACAGCAGCAAAAGGUACACCUUCUACCACUUUGUAAGGAUGGUCAGAUCCUUUUACGAUCCCAGACCCCGAGAACUGCUAUGCAACUUCAUGAGGCCAGACCCCGAGAACUGCCUUGCAACAAAACAAUAAACUUUGUAAUCUGAGGAGAGGAUCUCUUCAAUCUGAGGAGAGAAAGCCAUUUGUUUAGCUGCCUGCUCACCCAUCCUUGAGCCCCCUCUGUCCCUCCUGGGGAGAUGACCGGGUCAUGGAAAGGUGACAGAAGUUCCCGAAAUUCAAGCUACCAUACUUGCAUAAUGUAAUAAUUACAUUAUAGGAAUGUAUGCAUUUUUACCUCCACAUGUUUGGUAUCAUUUUAAAGGUCUAAGUGUGAUUGGAAAUAUGAUUGUUCUAUUAUUUGUUUUAGAUGUGACAUUUGUUUAUUGAUUAUUG